UACAGAGGUCUCAAGCGUUGUUCGGAUUCAUUGGGCGUAAAGGGUGCGUAGGCGGCGCGGUAAGUCGGGUGUGAAAUCUCGGAGCUUAACUCCGAAACUGCAUUCGAUACUGCCGUGCUUGAGGACUGGAGAGGAGACUGGAAUUUACGGUGUAGCGGUGAAAUGCGUAGAUAUCGUGAGGAAGCUCAGUGGCGAAGGCGGGUCUCUGGGCCGUUCCUGACGCUGAGGCACGAUAGCCUGGGGAGCAACCGGG
RNAcentral lists this ribosomal RNA (253 nucleotides) under uncultured bacterium. RNAcentral's name for it is "partial 16S ribosomal RNA". It matches the Rfam family "Bacterial small subunit ribosomal RNA", at positions 524 to 776 of the family's 1533-position model. The record is from RNAcentral.